GGGCCCUUAGCUCAGUUGGUAGAGCGGUCGGCUCAUAACCGAUUGGUCGUAGGUUCGAGUCCUGCAGGGCCCAUCA
This 76-nucleotide transfer RNA is filed under the name Aneurinibacillus migulanus. RNAcentral describes it as "tRNA_Met_CAT". It matches the Rfam family "tRNA". Rfam says of the family: Transfer RNA (tRNA) molecules are approximately 80 nucleotides in length. Their secondary structure includes four short double-helical elements and three loops (D, anti-codon, and T loops). The record is from RNAcentral. Lineage: Bacteria; Bacillati; Bacillota; Bacilli; Caryophanales; Paenibacillaceae.